AGGUGUGUGUUGAGGCUCUGGUGGUGCGUUCAGGUGUGUGUUCAGGCUCUGGUGGUGCGUUCAGGGGUGUGUUCAGGCUCUGGUGGUGCGUUCAGGUGUGUUGAGGCUCUGGUGGUGCGUUCAGGUGUGUGUUGAGGCUCUGGUGGUGCGUUCAGGUGUGUGUUCAGGCUCUGGUGGUGCGUUCAGGGGUGUGUUCAGGCUCUGGUGGUGCGUUCAGGUGUGUUGAGGCUCUGGUGGUGCGUUCAGGUGUGUGUUGAGGCUCUGGUGGUGCGUUCAGGUGUGUGUUGAGGCUCUGGUGGUGCGUUCAGGUGUGUGUUGAGGCUCUGGUGGUGCGUUCAGGUGUGUUGAGGCUCUGGUGGUGCGUUCAGGCUCACCUGGCAGAAGCAGCUCUGGUCCGGACUGAGUGAGGGUCUUCUCGGAGAGCUCCUCUGCUGCGGUUCCUUCUGGACGUUGCUGCGCUGAAACCAGCCGAGUCCAAAGUUCCCCAGAAGCAGAGCCAGCAGCAGAACACCCAGAGCCUGAAGAACCGCUCUGAACAUCCCGCCCUGCUGGACCAGGACCGCCGGAGGGACAGGAGCAGUACCAGACCAGGGCCUGUCAGCUGGUUCUGGCUCUGGAGCAGGAGCAGGACCUGUGUCCGCUGGUUCCGGAUCAGGACCCGUGUCGCCUGGUUCUGGUUCCGAUUCAGGACCCGUGUCACCUUGCUCUGGUUCCGGAUCAGGACCCGUGUCGCCUGGUUCUGGUUUCGGGUCAGGACCCGUGUCGCCUGGUUCUGGUUCCGAUUCAGGACCCGUGUCACCUUGCUCUGGUUCUGGAUCAGGACCCGUGUCGCCUGGUUCUGGAUCAGGACCCGUGUCGCCUGGUCCUGGUUCCGGGUCAGGACCCGUGUCGCCUGGCUCUGGACCCACUGUUAGCUAGCUACGGUAGCUUCAGGCUCGCUGUAAUUAGCAUCCGGAACAGUGGCUGUGAAAACGGAAGCGGGACCACGACUCGCUCAGGAGGGCAGCAGGACUUCAGAACCGCUCCGAGACCCGCGGACCCCCCCACACACCCCGGGGGACUGAAGACAGGACGGUCAUGUCUGGAGAAGUUUCUGUCCGGAGUCUCCACUUCUGCGUGAAGCUAACGAUGCUAACGAUGACGAGUAUUUCCGGUUCGUUC
RNAcentral lists this long non-coding RNA (1161 nucleotides) under Salarias fasciatus (jewelled blenny). RNAcentral's name for it is "lncRNA (ENSSFAG00005002961.1)". Lineage: Eukaryota; Metazoa; Chordata; Actinopteri; Blenniiformes; Blenniidae. The record is from RNAcentral.